AUUGAACGCUGGCGGAAUGCUUUACACAUGCAAGUCGGACGGCAGCACGGACUUCGGUCUGGUGGCGAGUGGCGAACGGGUGAGUAAUGUAUCGGAACGUGCCCAGUCGUGGGGGAUAACGUAGUGAAAAUUACGCUAAUACCGCAUACGAUCUAUGGAUGAAAGCGGGGGAUCGCAAGACCUCGCGCGAUUGGAGCGGCCGAUAUCAGAUUAGGUAGUUGGUGGGGUAAAGGCCCACCAAGCCAACGAUCUGUAGCUGGUCUGAGAGGACGACCAGCCACACUGGAACUGAGACACGGUCCAGACUCCUACGGGAGGCAGCAGUGGGGAAUUUUGGACAAUGGGCGAAAGCCUGAUCCAGCCAUUUCGCGUGCAGGAUGAAGGCCCUCGGGUUGUAAACUGCUUUUGUACAGAACGAAAAGGUUUCUACUAAUACUAGGAGCUCACGACGGUACUGUAAGAAUAAGCACCGGCUAACUACGUGCCAGCCGCCGCGGUAA
RNAcentral lists this ribosomal RNA (500 nucleotides) under uncultured bacterium. RNAcentral describes it as "partial 16S ribosomal RNA". It matches the Rfam family "Bacterial small subunit ribosomal RNA", at positions 30 to 523 of the family's 1533-position model. The record is from RNAcentral.